CUACGGGUUGCACCAGUGAGGAAUAUUGCACAAUGGGGGGAACCCUGAUGCAGCAACGCCGCGUGGAGGAUGACGCAUUUCGGUGUGUAAACUCCUUUUAUAUGUCAAGAAAAUGACGGUAGCAUAUGAAUAAGCACCGGCUAACUCCGUGCCAGCAGCCGCGGUAAUACGGAGGGUGCAGGCGUUACUCGGAAUCACUGGGCGUAUAGGACGCGUAGGCGGGUUGGAAAGUCAGGUGUGAAAUCCUACAGCUUAACUGUAGAACUGCACUUGAAACUUCUAAUCUAGAGUAUGGGAGGGGGAGAUGGAAUUAGUGGUGUAGGGGUAAAAUCCGUAGAUAUCACUAGGAAUACCUAAAGCGAAGGCGAUCUCCUGGAACAUUACUGACGCUAAGGCGUGAAAGCGUGGGGAGCAAACAGGAUUAGAUACCCGGGUAGUC
This 439-nucleotide ribosomal RNA is filed under the name uncultured bacterium. RNAcentral describes it as "partial 16S ribosomal RNA". It matches the Rfam family "Bacterial small subunit ribosomal RNA", at positions 339 to 795 of the family's 1533-position model. The record is from RNAcentral.